RNAcentral lists this ribosomal RNA (486 nucleotides) under uncultured bacterium. RNAcentral describes it as "bacterial SSU rRNA". It matches the Rfam family "Bacterial small subunit ribosomal RNA", at positions 25 to 518 of the family's 1533-position model. The record is from RNAcentral.
CAGGACGAACGCUGGCGGCGUGCCUAACACAUGCAAGUCGAGCGGAGAAUGCGGAUAUGUUUACAUGGAAGCAUCUUAGCGGCGGACGGGUGAGUAACACGUGGGUAACCUGCCUCAAAGAGGGGGAUAGCCUUCCGAAAGGAAGAUUAAUACCGCAUAAGCCUGCAGUACCGCAUGGUACAGCAGGAAAAGGAGCAAUCCGCUUUGAGAUGGACCCGCGGCGCAUUAGCUAGUUGGUGAGGUAACGGCUCACCAAGGCGACGAUGCGUAGCCGACCUGAGAGGGUGAUCGGCCACAUUGGAACUGAGACACGGUCCAGACUCCUACGGGAGGCAGCAGUGGGGAAUAUUGCACAAUGGGCGAAAGCCUGAUGCAAGCAACGCCGCGUGAAUGAUGAAGGCCUUCGGGUCGUAAAGUUCUUUGAUCAGGGAUGAUAAUGACAGUACCUGAAAAACAAGCCACGGCUAACUACGUGCCAGCAGCUGC